RNAcentral lists this unclassified non-coding RNA (257 nucleotides) under fungal sp. RNAcentral's name for it is "partial internal transcribed spacer region". The stretch from base 1 to 46 matches the Rfam family "Eukaryotic small subunit ribosomal RNA", at positions 1786 to 1831 of the family's 1831-position model. Lineage: Eukaryota; Fungi. The record is from RNAcentral.
AAGUCGUAACAAGGUUUCCGUAGGUGAACCUGCGGAAGGAUCAUUACAGAAAUGCAAAGGCGGCGCCGCUCAGCCGGGGUCGCCGGCGCACAUCUUUACCCACACACCCAUUGUGAACCGAAGCGUGGAGGUCAGUAGGGGCUUUGCGGCCUCGAACGCCCCGCGAAUACACACCAUACCCCAUCGCAAGUCUCAGAAUGUAAACCUGCGUUAGAUCGCAACAAAUACAACUUUCAGCAACGGAUCUCUUGGCUCUC